This 1050-nucleotide long non-coding RNA is filed under the name Homo sapiens (human). Its description in RNAcentral is "HSALNT0289835". The record is from RNAcentral. Lineage: Eukaryota; Metazoa; Chordata; Mammalia; Primates; Hominidae.
GCAACCCGCUGGGGUCGUCUUCCAUGCGGUAGAAGCUUUGUUCUUUUGCUGUUUGCAAUAAAUCUUGUUGCUGGUCACUGUUUGGGUCCGCACUGCCUUUGUGAGCUGUAACGCUCACCACGAAGGUCUGCGGGUUCACUGCUGAGGCCAGUGAGAGCCCGAGCCCACCAGGAGGAAUGAACAACUCCGGAUGGGAGAAACGAACAACUCCAGAUCCGCCGACUUAAGAGCUGCAACACUCACCGCCAAGCUAUGCAGCUUGACUCCUGAAGCCAGCGAGACCACGAACCCAUCAGAAGAAAAACUGUGAACACACCCGAGGAAUAAACUCCGGACACACCAUCUUUAAGAAUUGUAACACUCACCACGAGGGUCCACGGCUUCAUUCUUGAGCAAGCUACCACUGUUUAGAGAGAGUCUCCUGUUGUCUUCGUCCUGAGGCUUCUUCCAUCUGCACGGAGGUUCCGAAGCGUUUAUGACAUAUCAAUCCCUCUACCAUCAGGCACACAUUUCACUGUUUUGGGAGAAGGCCUUUGGACUGAAGCUGGAAUCACUGCUGCUCCGUGGGUGCUUGUCAUGGCUCCUGUGGAUGGGAACCCGCUAGGCUUCUAGGCUCUGCAUGGGUUUGUCUUUUUGAAUAAAUUGAGCAAUUGAAUUAUUGAUCCUGGCCUCAUGAUAUAAAGGAUUGGAUUUUGAUUUCUUAAAAAUUCUGAAGUCACGGCAGUAUACCAGUAAACGCUCUAGGACCUUGGUUCUUACAGGUGGCAUGGUAUCGUGGGACGCCGGGACACAGGAGUCCUUGGAAGUGGGCUGCGGCCUCUGUUUAGUCUGCUGGUCAGCAGGAGCCCCUGUUCUGAGGGUGCUGCUCCCCUGCCAAGCCCUUCCCAUGCUUCCCUAUAGCACCAGGACAAGGCCCACAGAGCCCAUGGAGGCCUCGCCGUCUGGCUGGACUAUCUGGCUGGUCUUGACUUUCCCACGGAGGCCUGGCCAUCUGGCUGGUCUUGACCUUGACUCCAUGAUACUGGUGUGUGCUGAAUCAUCUUAGUGUUU